UCCUAGCCCAGAUGGGAAUGAAAAUCCUUUUGGAUUGAACGGUAUUUUUUCUUGACUAAAAAAAGCGACUGGAAGAAGCUCUUUUUUGGUCUUAGAAAAAAACAGUUUCAAACCAAAAGAUUGUAAUGUACAGCUGGAUAAUGC
Molecule: small RNA, 144 nt
Filed under: Flavobacterium succinicans
Lineage: Bacteria; Pseudomonadati; Bacteroidota; Flavobacteriia; Flavobacteriales; Flavobacteriaceae
Description: Flavo-1 RNA
Rfam family: Flavo-1 RNA
Source: Rfam by way of RNAcentral